GGCCAUCAUCUGACUUCAGCCUCCUAAAUGCUGGGAUUACAGUGCAGGGAGCAUAUGUAAGCAAUUCUGUGCACUGGGCCAACGAGAAACAUACCCAUGACGGCUCUGCCAGAGAAGUGGGAUAUUCAACACUGCACUUGGCAGACAGCGACAAGUUGACUGAGACUCGCUCUCAAGACCGGCUCUCUCCCCACCGCCUCCUCAGGGCUGACCUGAGGCCUGAGCCCAAGCAGGUUCUCCCUGUGGCAGGUGGAAGAGCUCCUGGGAAAUAUGCUCACGUGUAUAUUUUGAUAGAAAUUUGCCAGAUGUCACGGAAGCAAGCGCAAGGUGCCACCUACUUGGCCUGGGUAUGGGGAAGUUUUCACAAGGAGAUGACAUUUUGGAUGGGCUUUGAAAGAUUCUAGGCAGAAGAGAGACUUGCAUGUUCAAGACAGACAUCAUAAGUCUGACUAUGCUAGUCUCCUGCUCAGAGUCCCUUACUUCCCAUCCACAAAGAGCAAUAGCAGAAGUCUUAACAAUGACCAACAUCCAAUGUAUUGUGUUUACUUAUGUUUGUUUAGUGUUUGUCUCCUUCAACAAUGACCAAAGGCCAUAUCCGGGUGCCAGGGGCCUCCUGUGCUCCAGCCAUCACCCUUGCUUUCUGCCCUGGGCAUAUGGCCUUCCCCUUGACACCUGCCUGGUUUCCUGUGGGUCUGCAAUUGGAGGGCACCUUCCCAGUGAGGUCUUUUCUCACCACGCUUCCCUGACGUCCCCCUACCCCUUCAUUUCAUUUUCUCCCUAUCAAUUCCUACCAGCCAACAUCUAAUAUAUUUUGUUUAUUUAUUUUUAUUUAUUGUCUUUCUCCUUGAAGAGGAAAGUUCACAAGGGCAGGAAUUUUCAUGUCAGUUUACUAUUCCAGUCCUGGUGCCUAGAACGGCAGUUGGCAUAUGGUAGUUGUUCAAUAAAUAUGUGCAGGCUGACUGAAGUUAAAGGCCUAGGAAAGAUACAUGAGAAGAAGGCUCUGGAGUCAGUAUGCGAGGCAAAGAGAAGCCCUGAACAUUUUAAACUAGGAGAAUGAGGUAGUGAGUUUCUGUUCUCAAGCCUAACAGUUCUGCUGGUGACAACAACAGUGUCGUGGUGACAGAGGGGCGGCAGGGAGAGACUGCCAACAGGACAUCCCACGAGAUCACUGCCCAGGAAAGUGACAGCUUGGCAGGGGCACAGGU
Octodon degus (degu) is the source of this 1205-nucleotide long non-coding RNA. RefSeq lists it as uncharacterized. The record is from RefSeq and is a predicted model, not a curated record. NCBI's taxonomy places the organism in Eukaryota, Metazoa, Chordata, Mammalia, Rodentia, Octodontidae. The transcript is spliced from 3 exons.